UGAAUACGAGAUGCUACGGCGUCGAAGCAGUGUAUGUCAGACUUCCAAGAAAAGCUCGCAAUGUCAUAAAUAAAGAAUGCCUGUACCAUAACCGACACAGGUGGGUAGGUAGAGUAUACUAAGGGGCGCGAGAUAACUCUCUCUAAGGAACUCGGCAAAAUAACUCCGUAACUUCGGGAGAAGGAGUGCCUUCUUUAAGAAGGUUGCAAUAACAAGAUCCAAGCAACUGUUUAUCAAAAACACAGGUCUCCGCUAAGUCGUAAGACGAUGUAUGGGGGCUGACGCCUGCCCAGUGCCAGAAGGUUAAAGAAGUUGGUUAGCUUUUGCGAAGCUGAUGACUGAAGCCCUGGUGAACGGCGGCCGUAACUAUAACGGUCCUAAGGUAGCGAAAUUCCUUGUCGGGUAAGUUCCGACCCGCACGAAAGGCGUAAUGAUUUGGAUACUGUCUCGGAGAGGGACUCGGUGAAAUAGACUUGUCUGUGAAGAUGCGGACUACCUGCACCAGGACAGAAAGACCCUAUGAAGCUUUACUGUAACUUGAAAUUGAAAUUGGACUUUAUUUGCGCAGUAUAGGUGGAAGGCGUUGAAAGUAAUCUUGCGGGAUUAGUGGAGCCAUCAGUGAGAUACCACUCCUAUAAUGUUAGAUUUCUAACUUUGGAUCAUGAUCUGGUCAAAGAACAGUUUCAGGCGGGCAGUUUGACUGGGGCGGUCGCCUCCCAAAUGGUAACGGAGGCGUACAAAGGUUUCCUCUGAACGGGUAGAAAUCGUAUCUAGAGUGUAAAGGCAUAAGGAAGCUUGACUGUGAGACCUACAAGUCGAGCAGGGACGAAAGUCGGUCUUAGUGAUCUGACGGUGCUGAGUGGAAAGGCCGUCACUCAACGGAUAAAAGUUACUCUAGGAUAACAGGCUGAUCUCCCCCAAGAGUUCACAUCGACGGGGAGGUUUGGCACCUCGAUGUCGGCUCAUCGCAUCCUGGGGCGGUAGUACGUCCCAAGGGUUGGGCUGUUCGCCCAUGAAAGCGGUACGCGAGCUGGGUUCAGAACGUCGUGAGACAGUUCGGUCCAUAUCCGGUGUAGGCGUUAGAAUAUUGAGAGGAGCCUUCUUUAGUACGAGAGGACCGAGAAGGACAUACCUCUGGUGUACCAGUUAUCGUGCCAACGGUAAACGCUGGGUAGCUAUGUAUGGAGAGGAUAACCGCUGAAAGCAUCUAAGUGGGAAGCCCACCUCAAGAUGAGUAUUCUCA
RNAcentral lists this ribosomal RNA (1243 nucleotides) under metagenome. RNAcentral's name for it is "bacterial LSU rRNA". It matches the Rfam family "Bacterial large subunit ribosomal RNA", at positions 1564 to 2816 of the family's 2925-position model. The record is from RNAcentral.